This 1029-nucleotide ribosomal RNA is filed under the name uncultured bacterium. Its description in RNAcentral is "bacterial SSU rRNA". It matches the Rfam family "Bacterial small subunit ribosomal RNA", at positions 343 to 1394 of the family's 1533-position model. The record is from RNAcentral.
GGGAGGCAGCAGUGAGGAAUAUUGGACAAUGGAUGGAAAUCUGAUCCAGCCAUGCCGCGUGCAGGAAGACGGCCCUAUGGGUUGUAAACUGCUUUUGUAUGGGAGCAAUAAGGUCUAUGCGUAGACUGAUGAGAGUACCAUACGAAUAAGCAUCGGCUAACUCCGUGCCAGCAGCCGCGGUAAUACGGGGGAUGCAAGCGUUAUCCGGAUUUAUUGGGUUUAAAGGGUGCGUAGGCGGUUUGAUAAGUCCAGCGGGGUGAAAUAUUUCAGCUUAACUGAAAAAGGGUGCCGUUGAUACUGUCAGGCUUGAAUAUGGUUGCUGUGGGUGGAAUGUGUGGUGUAGCGGUGAAUGCUUAUAUAUCACACAGAAUAUCGAUUGCGAAGGCAGCUCACAAGCCAUCAUUGACGCUGAUGCACGAAAGUGUGGGAUCAACCAGGAUUAGAUMACCUGGUAGUCCCACUGUAAACGAUGAUACUCGCUGUCGCGAUACACAGAUCGGUAGCCAAGCAAAGGGCAUAAGUAUCCCCUGGGGGAUCGACCGCCAAGGUGGAACUCAAAGGAUGACGGGCCCGCACAAGCGAAGGAACAUGUGGUUUAAUUCGAUGAUACGCGAGGAACCUUACCGGGCUCGAACGGUGCAGAAUACGUCAGAGAUGAUGUAGCUAGCAAUGCGUGCUGCAUGGUUGUCGUCAGCUCGUGCCGUGAGGUGUCGGCUUAAGUGCCAUAACGAGCGCAACCCUUGUCGUUAGUUGCCAUCAGGUAAUGCUGGGAACUCUAGCGAGACUGCCACCGUAAGGUGUGAGGAAGGGGGGGAUGACGUCAAAUCAGCACGGCCCUUACGUCCGGGGCGACACACGUGUUACAAUGGUAGGCACAGAGGGCAGCUACCCAGCAAUGGGGUGCGAAUCUCAAAAGCCUAUCUCAGUUCGGAUCGGAGUCUGCAACUCGACUCCGUGAAGUUGGAUUCGCUAGUAAUCGCGCAUCAGCCAUGGCGCGGUGAAUUGUUCCCGGGCCUUGUACACACCGCC